RNAcentral lists this ribosomal RNA (301 nucleotides) under uncultured bacterium. Its description in RNAcentral is "partial 16S ribosomal RNA". It matches the Rfam family "Bacterial small subunit ribosomal RNA", at positions 509 to 807 of the family's 1533-position model. The record is from RNAcentral.
CAGUAGCCGCGGGAAUACGCAGGUGGCAAGCGUUGUCCGGAAUUAUUGGGCGUAAAGGGCUCGCAGGCGGUUUCUUAAGUCUGAUGUGAAAGCCCCCGGCUCAACCGGGGAGGGUCAUUGGAAACUGGGAAACUUGAGUGCAGAAGAGGAGAGUGGAAUUCCACGUGUAGCGGUGAAAUGCGUAGAGAUGUGGAGGAACACCAGUGGCGAAGGCGACUCUCUGGUCUGUAACUGACGCUGAGGAGCGAAAGCGUGGGGAGCGAACAGGAUUUGAUACCCGUGUAGUCCCUGUCUCUUAUAC